RNAcentral lists this ribosomal RNA (681 nucleotides) under uncultured bacterium. Its description in RNAcentral is "bacterial SSU rRNA". It matches the Rfam family "Bacterial small subunit ribosomal RNA", at positions 141 to 808 of the family's 1533-position model. The record is from RNAcentral.
GGAUACCACUUGGAAACAGGUGCUAAUACCGGAUAACAACAAUAGCUGCAUGGCUAUUGCUUAAAAGGCGGCGAAAGCUGUCGCUAAAGGAUGGACCCGCGGUGCAUUAGCUAGUUGGUAAGGUAAUGGCUUACCAAGGCGACGAUGCAUAGCCGAGUUGAGAGACUGAUCGGCCACAUUGGGACUGAGACACGGCCCAAACUCCUACGGGAGGCAGCAGUAGGGAAUCUUCCACAAUGGGCGAAAGCCUGAUGGAGCAACGCCGCGUGAGUGAAGAAGGUUUUCGGAUCGUAAAGCUCUGUUGUUGGUGAAGAAGGAUAGAGGUAGUAACUGGCCCCUAUUUGACGGUAAUCAACCAGAAAGUCACGGCUAACUACGUGCCAGCAGCCGCGGUAAUACGUAGGUGGCAAGCGUUGUCCGGAUUUAUUGGGCGUAAAGCGAGCGCAGGCGGAAAGAUAAGUCUGAUGUGAAAGCCCCCGGCUUAACCGAGGAAUUGCAUCGGAAACUGUGUUUCUUGAGUGCAGAAGAGGAGAGUGGAACUCCAUGUGUAGCGGUGGAAUGCGUAGAUAUAUGGAAGAACACCAGUGGCGAAGGCGGCUCUCUGGUCUGUAACUGACGCUGAGGCUCGAAAGCAUGGGUAGCGAACAGGAUUAGAUACCCUGGUAGUCCAUGCCGUAAACG